GCCGCGGGCGCCGGCGCCGGGGGAGGGGUGGCCGGGGCCACGGCCGGCGGGGGAGACACCGGCGCCGGGGUCGGCGGCGGCAUCGUCGGGGGCGGGGACACCGGGGCCACGGGCGCGGGCAUCGGGGUGGCCGCCGGGGCCUGGGCCGCGGUGGCGGCGAACAGCAUGGUCAGGGCCAGAGCCACGAGCUGGAUGCGCGCCAUUGCAGGAGUGAAGAGGAGAGCUUGAGCUUGAGCUUGGGGUGGCUUCUGCUUCUGCUUGAGGUGGUGCUGGUGGUGGUGUGUACUGUAAUGGUGUCCGAGACGGUAUUGGGCCGGGAGAUUAUAAAGGGGCCGCGGACGGGGCCACGACGACGAAUUACAAGAUGUGUCAGGGGCCUUCCUGCUAAUUUGCGCGCCGGGUAGCCGUCCGAUCGACAUCCAACAGCUGGUCCGGGUGGAAAGCUUCAACUCUUUUUUCUUCUCCGAACUUCUGACUUCUGAACAGCAAGCAAGCAAGUUUUUUUCCAAACGAUCAGAAAAAAUCUAGUUCAAUCCCAACAGCUGGCGGACAUAAUUUCUUUCUUUUGGUUCAUGGAAAAUUCUCCCGCGAUCGCCUUGCCUAAUUCUGUUUCUCGUUAUGGUUCACGCGUGGUUCUGGUCGACGGUGAGCUGGGUUUCUCUUCCUGUUUUUGCCUUGCCUAAUUUUGUCUUCUGGACGAUCAAUGCAAAAUGGCAAGUAGCUAGUGAGCCAAUUGGCCCACGCGUUCGCAAUGUCCCUUACAACCACAAUAAAAUGUCAGACUUCAAAACAAUAUUACUUCGAAAGUCAAGGUCACGCGUAAAUGUGAAAUGGCAAGUUUCUUUUAGGGUUGUGUGAAAUACCAAGUGGUAUUUGCUAAUGAGCCGAUUGGCUCACGCGUUUGCGGAGUUAUUGCAUCAAGUUUUUCUUUACAAGGAUGAUAAAAAGUCAGAUUUCAAAAACAAAGUUACUUCCAAAGUCAAAGUGCUUUUUCUCGCAAUUACAUGGGCGACGCACGCGCAGACACGCAUGCGCCAACGUGAAAUAUCAAGAAGUAUUUGCUAGUGAGCCGAUUGGCUCACACGAUUGCGAUGUUUGUGCAUCGAGUUUUCUUUACAAGGAUAAUGGAGGUCCAUUUUCAACAGCAAGGUUGCCUCCAAGGUCAAGGUGCUUCUUUAUGCAGUUACAACACACACGUAGACACGCACACACGCACUCAGAACCUUAUAAAUUUGGAGAAUUUUUUUCCUUUUCUUUUUGAGGCAACCUUGCUGUUGAAAACUAAAGUUGAGAGAGAGUUUAGUCCCACCCUGAAAGUUGAGAGUUGCACCUCUUUAUAAAGUGAGCUCUUCUACCACUUGUAUGAGCAUGAGAAGAGGAGACCCAAUUCUCACAGACUACGACGUUAAUAGUCAAAUUCAUAUAGGUGUGUUCCUUAGAAGAUGUUCUGCAGGACAACAUCUCUGCUUACCCGAAUAAGCCACUUGGAACACAUUAAGAUAAGUAUCAACCUGCCAUGCAGAUCAAGAGAGUAUUGCAUCUUCACGGAGUGGGAUAAUUAAUAUAGGGAUACUCUCCUCCCAGCUGACCAACAGCUUGUCUCCCACUUCUACUUCACGGGAUCUCCGAUCAUAUAGAGUGGUUUACCACUAUGGACAACUCAUGCGGUGGGUCUCAAACCCAUCUCUAUCGAUGCAUCAUCUAUCACAUUACAUGAUAGACCAUUUGUGAAGGGAUCUGCCAAGUUUUUCGACGUUUGGAUAUAAUCCAACGUAAUAAAUCCGGAGUUCCUCAAUUUUCUGACAGAUUUUAGUCUCCUCUUCACAUGCCUUGAGGACUUCAUAUUGUCCUUAGAACUGUUUAUCUUGACGAUCACAGUUUGAUUAUCACAGUUCAUCAGGAUAGGGGGGAUUGGUUUUUCAACCAUAGGUAAGUCCAUCAAGAGUUCACGAAGCCACUCUGCUUCAACAGUGGCAGUGUCUAAUGCUGUGAGUUCUGCUUCCAUAGUUGACCUUGUUAAGAUGGUCUGCUCGCAAGACUUCCAGGAAACAGCACCACCACCAAGUGUAAAAACAUAACCACUUGUGGCCUUAAUCUCAUUAGCAUCAGAUAUCCAGUUUGAGUCACUAUAACCCUCCAGUACCCUUGGAUACCCGGUGUAGUGAAUCCCAUAGCUCGCGGUGCCUUUCAAAUAGCGCAUAACUCUCUUAAGCACAUGCCAAUGAUCAUCUCCCAGUUUUGACACAAACCAACUCAGCUUGCUCACAGCAAAAGAGAUGUCAGGCCUCGUGGCACUCGCCAAAUACAUAAGCGAGCCAAUAAUCUGAGAAUACCUCAGUUGAUCUCUAGCAAUCCGUCGAUUCUUUCGAAGCAACACACUAGCAUCAUAUGGAGUUGGAGAAGGCGUGCAGUCGCUAUACCCAAAACAACUCAAGACCUUUUCCACAUAAUGAGACUGAAGCAGUGUGAUCCCACCAUUCUCAUCUCUCAACAGCUUGAUGUUUAAGUUAACAUCAGUUACUCCUAGAUCCUUCAUCUCAAAACAGCGAGAUAAGAAAUCCUUAACCUCCUUGAUUAAAUCAAGUUUGGUUCCAAAGAUCAAUAUGUCGUCGACAUACAGACAAAGAAUAACUCCUUCGCCCCCAUGCUACGUCUCGAGCUAGCGUUGGUUUUCUCCGAAGAGGAGGGGGUGAUGCAGCACAGUAGCGUAAGUAUUUCCCUCAGUUUUUGAGAACCAAGGUAUCAAUCCAGUAGGAGGUCACGCGCAAGUCCCUCGUACCAACACAAAACGGUAGCAACUCGCAACCAACGCUUAGGGGUUGUCAAUCCCUUCACGGUCACUUACGAGAGUGAGAUCUGAUAGAGAUAAUAUUUUUGGUAUUUUUGGUAUAAAGAUGCAAAGUAAAAAGUAAAAGCAAAACAAGUAAAAUAAAUUAAUGGAGAUUGAUAUGAUGAGAAUAGACCCGGGGGCCAUAGGUUUCACUAGUGGCUUCUCUCAAGAGCAUAGAUAUUCUACGGUGGGUGAACAAAUUACUGUUGAGCAAUUGAUAGAAUUGAGCAUAGUUAUGAGGUUAUCUAGUUAUGAUCAUGUAUAUAGGCAUCACGUCCGUGACAACUAGACCGACUCCUGCCUGCAUCUACUACUAUUACUCCACUCAUCGACCGCUAUCCAGCAUGCAUCUAGAAUAUUAAGUUAAAAACAGAGUAACACCUUAAGCAAGAUGACAUGAUGUAGAGGAAUAAAUUCAUGCAAUAUGAUAAAUACCCCAUCUUGUUAUCCUCGAUGGCAACAAUACAAUACGUGCCUUGCAACUCUUUCUGUCACUGAGUAAGGACACCGCAAGAUUGAACCCAAAGCUAAGCACUUCUCCCAUUGCAAGAACUACCAAUCUAGUUGACCAAACCAAACGGAUAAUUCGAAGAGACUUGCAAAGAUAACUCAAUUAUACAUAAAAGAAUUCAGAGAAGAUUCAAAUAUUAUUCAUAGAUAAGUUGGAUCAUAAACCCACAAUUCAUUGGUCUUAACAAACACACCGCAAAAAGAAGAUUACAUCGAAUAGAUCUCCACGAGAGAGGGGGAGAACAUUGUAUUGAGAUCCAAAAAGAGAGAAGAAGCCAUUUAGCUACUAGCUAUGGACCCGAAGGUCUGAAGUAAACUACUCACACUUCAUCGGAAGGGCUAUAGUGUUGAUGUAGAAGCCCUCCGUGAUGGAUGCCCUCUCUGGCAGAGCUCCGGAACAGGCCCCAAAAUGGGAUCUCGUGGAUACAGGAAGUUGCGGCGGUGGAAUUAGGUUUUUGGCUCCCUCCCUGGUCUAAUGGGGGUAUGUAGGUAUAUAUAGGAGGAAGGAGCACGUCGGUGGAGCUCCGAGGGGCCCACGAGGCAGGGGCGCACCCAGGGGGCGCCCUCCACCCUCGUGACCUCCCCGGAAACUUCUUGGAGUAGGGUCCAAGUCUACUGAAUCACGUUCGGUGAGAAGAUCACGUUCCCGAAGGUUUCAUUCCGUUUGGACUCCGUUUGAUAUUCUGUUUCCUAGAAAUACUGAAAUAGGAAAAAAACAGCAAUUCUGGGCCGGGCCUCCGGUUAAUAGGUUAGUCUUAAAAAUAAUAUAAAAGUGAAAAAUAAAACCCAAUAUAGUCCAAAAUAGUAGAUAAAGUAGCAUGGAACAAUCAAAAAUUAAAGAUACGUUGGAGACGUAUCAGACAUCCCCAAGCUUAAUUCCUGCUCGUCCUCGAGUAGGUAAAUGAUAAAAAGAGAAUUUUUGAUGCGGAGUGAUACUUUGGCAUAAUUUCAAUGUAAAUCUUCUUAAUCAUGGUAUGAAUAUUCAGAUCCGAAAGGUUCAAGACAAAAGUUCAUAUUGACAUAAAAAUGAUAAUACUUCAAGCAUACUAAUCAAACAAUUAUGUCAUCUCAAAAUAACAUGGCCAAAGGAAGUUCAUCCCUACAAAAUCAUAUAGUUAGGCUAUGCUUCAUUUUCGUCACACAAAGAUGUUCCCAACUUUUAUACCCCCGAUGACAAGCCAAGCAAUUGUUUCAUACUCAAAUAAUCUCAAACUUUUUCAACCUUCACGCAAUACAUGAGCGCGAGCCAUGGACAUAGCACUAUGGGUGGUAUAGAAUAUGAUGAUGGGGAUUGUGUGGAGAAGACAAAAAAGGAGAAAGUCUCACAUCAACGAGGCUAAUCAAUGAGCUAUGGAGAUGCCCAUCAAUUGAUGUUAAUGCAAGGAGUAGGGAUUGCCAUGCAACGGAUGCACUAGAGCUAAGAAUGCUCAACAAAAGAAAACUAGUGGGUGUGCAUCCAACUUGCUUGCUCAUGAAGACCUAGGGCAUUUUGAGGAAGCUCAUCGUUGGAAUAUACAAGCCAAGUUCUAUAAUGAAAAAUUCCCACUAGUAUGAAUAAGACAACUUAUGAGACUCACUAUAUGAAAAUCAUGGUGCUACUUUGAAGCACAAUAUAUGAGACUCACUACAUGAAGAACAAGGUGCUACUUUGAAGCACAAGUGUGGAAAAAAGAGAUAGUAGCAUUGCCCUUUUUAUUUUCUCUUUUUUGGGGGGCCUUUCUUUUUUUUUUUGGCCUUUCUCUCUCUUUUUUUGAUUGGGCAAUGCUCUAAUAAUGAUGAUCAUCACACUUCUAUUGAUUACAACAUAAUGAUUACAACUCGAUACUAGAACAAGAUAUGACUCUAUAUGAAUGCCUCCGGUGGUGUACCAUGAUGGUGCAAUGAAUCAAGAGUGACAUGUAUGAAAAAUAAUGCAUGGUGGCUUUGCCACAAAUACGAUGUCAACUACAAGAUCAUGCAAUGACAAUAUGACAAAAGUAAAGCAUGUCAUGAUGAUGAUGAUGAUGAUGGAAGUUGCAUGGCAAUAUAUCUCGGAAUGGCUAUGGAAAUGCCAUGAUAGAUAGGUAUGGUGGCUGUUUUGAGGAAGGUAUAGGGAGGUUUAUGUGUGAAAGAGCGUGUCAUAUCAUGGGGUUUGGAUGCACCGGCGAAGUUUGCACCAACUCUCAAUGUGAGAAAGGGUAAUGCACGGUACCGAAGAGGCUAGCAAAUGGCGGAAAGGUAAAAGUGCGUAUAAUCCAUGGACUCAACAUUAGUCAAAAGAACUCAUAUACUUAUUACAAAAAUUUAGAAGUCAUCAAAAAUCAAGCACUACGCGCAUGCUCCUAGGGGGAUAGAUUGGUAGGAAAAGACCAUCGCUCGUCCCCGACCGCCACUCAUAAGGAUGCACAAGCCAGGUACACUUCAUGCUUUAAAUUUGUUACACAAUUUUAACCAUACGUGCAUGCUACGGGACUUGCUAACUUCAACACAAGUAUUUCUCAGAUUCACAACUACUCAACUAGCACGACUAUGAUAUUAUCACCUCCAUAUCUCAAAACAAUUAUCAAGUAUCAAACUUAUCUUAGUAUUCAACCCACUAAAAAGAAAGUUUCACAUAUCUUGAAUACCAAGUAUAUUAACAUUAAGCAAAUUACCAUGCUAUUAACGACUCUCAAAAUAAUCUAAGUGAAGCAUGAGAGAUCAAGUUUCUUUAAAACAAACCACCACCGUGCUCUAAAAGAUCUAAGUGAAGCACUAGAGCAAAAAUUAUCAUGCUCAAAAAGAUAUAAGUGAAGCACAUAGAGUAAACUAUCAAGCUCAAAAGAUAUAAGUGAAGCACAUAGAGUAUUCUACCAAAUUUCAAUUCAUGCAUGGCUCUCUCAAAAGGUGUGUACAGCAAGGAUGAUUGUGGUAGACUAACAAGAAAAGACACAAAUAAUACAAGAUGCUCCAAGCAAAACACAUAUCAUGUGGUGAAUAAAAAUAUUGCUCCAAGUAAAUUACCGAUGGAAGUGGACGAAAGAGGGGAUGCCUUCCGGGGCAUCCCCAAGCUUUGACUUUUUGGUAUCGUUGGAUUAUCUUGGGGGUGCCAUGGGCAUCCCAAGCUUAGGCUCUUGCCACUCCUUGUUCCAUAAUCCAUCAAAAGAAUUCACCCAAAACUUGAAAACUUCACAACACAAAACUCAAUAGAAAUCUCGUGAGCUCCGUUAGAGAAAGAAAAUAAAAGACUACUUUAAGGUACUGUAGUGUACUUGUUCUUUAUUUGUAUUGGUGUUAAACCUACUGUAUUCCAAUUUCUCUAUGGUUUAUAAACUAUUUUACUAGCCAUAGAUUUAUCAAAAUAAGCAAAUAACACACGCAAAACAGAAUCUGUCAAAAACAGAACAGUCUGUAGUAAUCUGUUACUAACGCAAACUUCUAGAACCCAAAAAAUUCUACCAAAAUUAGACGACCUGGGCAAUUUGUUUAUUGAUCAGCAGCAAUUGGAAUCACUAUUUUAUCACGUUCUGGUGAUUUUUGACAAUUCGGGCACUGAGCGCAAAGAUUCUGGAAAUUACAGCAAGAUCAAAUAACUAUCUUUCAAGAAGAUCUAAUAGGUUUAACUUGGCACAAACACUAAUUAAAAGAUAAAACCACAUCUAAACAGAAUAUAAAUGGAUUAUUUAUUCCUAAACAGAACCAAAAACAAAAAAUACAAAAUAAAAUUGGGUUGCCUCCCAACAAGCGCUAUCGUUUAACGCCCCUAGCUAGGCAUAAAAGCAAGGAUAGGUCUAGGUAUUGCCAUCUUUGGUAGGCAAUUCUUCAAUGAGGCAUCCACCUCCUUUAGAAUUUUCUUUCUUUCUAGUGAUUAUCAAACUUUUAGGCAUAAGAUCGAAAAAUUCAUCCGUGGCAAAUGGUUCCUUAAUGAGUGUAAAAAGAUCGGGGUGAAUACUUAUAGAUUUAAGAUCCGCAUUUUCCUUACUAGAUGAUUCACCCUUAUUUUUAGGAACAUACAUAAACUUGGCAAUUUUAGUGGGAGGACUAGGAGUAAUUUUUACGGAAGAAAAAGCAGUUCCCAAGUUGGUAAUGAUACCCUCAAGUUUAUCGAUUCGAGUAGAGUCUAGAUUUAUUUUUUUCAUUAACAAUGGGUUCCUUCUCCUUAAUAUUUUUCAAAGUCACUCCUACCUUAGAUCCAUAUUGAGUAAUUUGAUUAUGAAUCUUUUUAUCUAGAUUUUCAAUGGAUUCAAUGGUAGCAACUUUGUUUUCAAUAAUUUCAAGCAUUUGCAUAACAUGCUCCAAGGUUAACACAGUUCCAUUAACCAAAAGGGGAGGUGAGCCAAAUAAAUCUAUUAAAGCAUUAUAGGAAUCAAAAGUAUGGCUACCCAAAAAAUUCCCUCCGGUAAUGGUAUCAAGGAUAUAUCUAUACCAAGGAUUAGCACCUACAUAAAAAUUGUGAAGAAGGACUGAAGUAGAUUGCUUUCUGGUAGAUCUAUUUUGAGCAUUGCAAAUUCUAUACCAAGCAUCUUUUAGAUUUUCUCCCUCCCUUUGUUUAAAAUUUAGCACUUCAUUCUCGGGAGAUAACGGAGAAGAUAAGGAAUUCGACAUAGCGACAGGUAAGCAAACUAACACACGAGCAAACAAAAGGCAAAGGGAAAGAGAGGGCGAAUAAAGCGGCAAAGGUGAAGUGGGGGAGAGGAAAACGAGAGGCAAAUGGCAAAUAAUGUAAUGCGAGAGAUAGAGAUUGUGAUGGGUACUUGGUAUGUUGACUUUUGCGUAGGCUUCCCCGGCAACGGCGCCAGAAAUGGCUCGUUGACGGGAGAGUAAAUCUUGACUUGACUUGGCAUAGGCCUCCCCGGCAACGGCGCCAGAAAUGGCUCGUUGACGGGAGAGUAAAUCUUGACUUGACUUGGCGUAGGCCUCCCCGACAACGGCGCCAGAAAUCCUUCUUGCUAUGUCUCGAGCUAGCGUUGGUUUUCCCCGAAGAAGAGGGGGUGAUGCAGCACAGUAGCGUAAGUAUUUCCCUCAGUUUUUGAGAACCAAGGUAUCAAUCCAGUAGGAGGUCACGCGCAAGUCCCUCGUACCUGCACAAAACGGUAGCAACUCGCAACCAACACUUAGGGGUUGUCAAUCCCUUCAUGGUCACUUACGAGAGUGAGAUCUGAUAGAGAUAAUUUUUUUGGUAUUUUUGGUAUAAAGAUGCAAAGUAAAAAGUAAAAGCAAAACAAGUAAAAUAAAGUAAUGGAGAUUGAUAUGAUGAGAAUAGACCCGGGGGCCAUAGGUUUCACUAGUGGCUUCUCUCAAGAGCAUAGAUAUUCUACGGUGGGUGAACAAAUUACUGUUGAGCAAUUGAUAGAAUUGAGCAUAGUUAUGAGGUUAUCUAGGUAUGAUCAUGUAUAUAGGCAUCACGUCCGUGACAAGUAGACCGACUCCUGCCUGCAUCUACUACUAUUACUCCACUCAUCGACUGCUAUCCAGCAUGCAUCUAGAGUAUUAAGUUAAAAACAGAGUAACGCCUUAAGCAAGAUGACAUGAUGUAGAGGAAUAAAUUCAUGCAAUAUGAUAAAUACCCCAUCUUGUUAUCCUUGAUGGCAACAAUAUAAUACGUGCCUUGCAACUCUUUCUGUCACUGAGUAAGGACACCGCAAGAUUGAACCCAAAGCUAAGCACUUCUCCUAUUGCAAGAACUACCAAUCUAGUUGGCCAAACCAAACGGAUAAUUCGAAGAGACUUGCAAAGAUAACUCAAUCAUACAUAAAAGAAUUCAGAGAAGAUUCAAAUAUUAUUCAUAGAUAAGUUGGAUCAUAAACCCACAAUUCAUCGGUCUCAACAAACACACCGCAAAAAGAAGAUUACAUCGAAUAGAUCUCCACGAGAGAGGGGGAGAAUAUUGUAUUGAGAUCCAAAAAGAGAGAAAAGGCCAUCUAGCUACUAGCUAUGGACCCUAAGGUCUGAAGUAAACUACUCACACUUCAUCGGAAGGGCUAUGGUGUUGAUGUAGAAGCCCUCCAUGAUGGAUGCCCUCUCCGGCGGAGCUCCGGAACAGGCCCCAAGAUGGGAUCUCGUGGAUACAGGAAGUUGCGGUGGUGGAAUUAGGUUUUUGGCUCCCUCCCUGGUCUAAUGGGGGUACGUAGGUAUAUAUAGGAGGAAGGAGCACGUCGGUGGAGCUCCGAGGGGCCCAUGAGGUAGGGGGGCGCGCCCAGGGGGGCGCCCUCCACCCUCGUGACCUCCCCGGUAACUUUUUGGAGUAGGGUCCAAGUCUCCUGGAUCAUGUUUGGUGAGAAGAUCACGUUCCCGAAGGUUUCAUUCCGUUUGGACUCCGUUUGAUAUUCUGUUUCCUCGAAAUACUGAAAUAGGGAAAAAACAGCAAUUCUGGGCUGGGCCUCCAGUUAAUAGGUUAGUCCCAAAAAUAAUAUAAAAGUGGAAAAUAAAGCCCAAUAUAGUCCAAAACAGUAGAUAAAAUAGCAUGGAGCAAUCAAAAAUUAUAGAUACGUUGGAGACGUAUCACCCCACCAUAGCGAUAGUACACGCACUUGUCACCAUCGUUUACUACAAAGCCGGCAGCAGUUAAUGUUCUUUCGAACUUCUCAUGCCACUCCUUAGGAGCUUGUUUAAGGCCAUAUAAAGACUUUAAUAACUUGCACACCUUUCCUUCUUGACCAGGUACUACAAAACCAUCUGGCUGAUCCAUGUAAAUUUCCUCCUUCAACUCUCCAUUGAGGAAAGCCGUCUUAACGUCCAUUUGAUGAACGAGAAGACCAUGUGAGGCAGCCAGUGAUAGUAGCACCCGAAUUGUGGUCAGUCUAGCCACGGGUGAGUAAGUAUCAAAGAAGUCUUCACCUUCUUCCUGGGUAUAACCCUUGGCCACAAGCCGUGCCUUAUACUUUUCAAUCAUACCAUCAGGUGUAAGCUUCUUCUUGAACACCCACUUACAUCCUACAGGUUUGCACCCAUAAGGACGGUCAGUGAUCUCCCAGGUACCGUUAGCUAAGAUGGAAUCCAUCUCGCUAUGUAUAGCUUCCUUCCAGUAGUCAGCAUCAGGAGAUGCAUAGGCUUCUGAAAUAGUCCUGGGUGUGUCAUCCACGAGGUACACAAUGAAAUCAUCACCAAAAGACUUUGUAGUGCUCUGUCUCUUACUCCUCAUAGGAGUUCCAUUGUUACCCUCAACAGGAUUCUCAACGUGUUCCAUCGCAAUGGUGGGUUCAGGAAUUACAGUGAAUUCCUCACUAGAUGGAGUAGGUAUCUCCUGAUUUGAUGAACUCGACAUAUCCUUCAUAGGAAAUAUGUCCUCAAAGAAAAUUGCAUCAUUUGAUUCCAUAAUCGUACCAACAUGCAUGUCGGAUACCUCAGAUUUUAUUAUCAAAAAUCUAUAGCCGAUGCUAUGAAAAGCAUAGCCCAGAAGAACACAAUUCACGGUUUUUGGUCCAAGCUUGCGCUUCUUGGGAAUUGGUAUAUUGACUUUCGCCAAACAACCCCAAGUACGUAGGUAAGAGAGUUUCAACAUUUUCCUUUCCCAUUCCUCAAAUGGAGUCAUGGUCUUAUGCUUUGUAGGAACUCGGUUUAGGACAUGACACGCAGUCAUUAGCGCCUCCCCCCACAAUUCCUUGGAUAGACCCGAAGUGUCUAACAUGGUGUUAACCAUAUCAGUUAGAGUUCGGUUAUUUCUUUCGACUACCCCAUUUGACUGGGGUGAGUAGGGAGGCGUCCUCUCAUGGAUUAUACCAUGUUCCACAUAAAACAGAUCAAAUUCAUUGGAAAAAUACUCUCCACCACGAUCGGACCUAAGCCGUUUAAUUUUUCGAUCAAGUUGGUUCUCUACCUCAGCUUUAUAGUUUUUAAAGAAAGUCAAAGCCUCAUCUUUUGAUUUCAGAAGAUACACAUAACAAUAUCUAGUGGAGUCAUCAAUCA
RNAcentral lists this long non-coding RNA (11203 nucleotides) under Triticum aestivum (bread wheat). Its description in RNAcentral is "long non-coding RNA (TAES_LNC005782)". The record is from RNAcentral. Lineage: Eukaryota; Viridiplantae; Streptophyta; Magnoliopsida; Poales; Poaceae.